CCUACCCUGAGCUGGAGUGACAGACUGACAGGUGCUGUCAGCGAGGGGCCGGCGACAGCGGGAUGGCUUUGGCUUUUCAUGGAAUUCAACAAGGCACAAGAACAAGACAAAGCAGCAGCAUGUGCAGCUCCAGGAGGCCUUUGGCAAAGCAGCCUUAAAAAUGCACAAUUCCAGAAUGUUUGAUUAGGAAAUAGAGAGCAUUAUCUAAAGAGUCUGUUCUGAUUUGCUGUCACAGACCUGGAUAUUCUCACUGCUUGGGAAGUGGGUGCUACCAAACCUUCACCUUGUGGUUCAGGGGAAUACAGCCCCGGUGCUGUCCGUGGGAGUUUUGAUGUGGACUUCUAAGGAUCCAAAUGUCACAAUUCAGCGAGAGCCUGCAGAGAAACUGAAAGUUUGGCACCCAAAAUCCAUCCUGGUGCAAAUCCCAACCUAGCUGUGGCUUCACUGGCAAUCCUGAAGUUCAGGUUUGAAAAAAGCUGGAAACACCAAACUUCGUUGAAUUUGCUGCAUUUUAUCACAAAAAUAAAGGAAAAUGAAAAAAGCAAUUUGAUUGCCAUAUAAAUAACAAAAAAUCAUGACUUGCUUUCUGAUUCUUGGUGAAUAUUUUUGCUCAGCUCCUUGAACCUCUCAUUUCACCAAAACUUCUCAUUCAGGCUGUGACCAGAUCCAGAGCAGUUUUUUCAUGGAAACAAACUGAUUUAGGCUCAUCUGAAGCUUUAAAAAACACUAUUGCAGGGAAGCUCUGGAGCUCCCCUCUGUAUUUUUGAUGCUCCCAAAUCAUUCUUCCUUCCAGGCCCAGGGUUUUCCAUGGGAACACCGAAUUUUUGAGGUGAAAAUUCACCUUUAAAAGGCUCCCAAGGGAGGUCAGGAGCAGCUUAGAUGCUUUUCAAGCUGAAUAAACACCGACAACCUCCAGAAACCCAACUUUUCCCAGCAUGGAGUGAAGUUCCUGAAACAACACUUUGAACCCUGCGCUCAUUUCAAGCUGUUAAAAAUCACCUCAUCCCUUCCACUCAAUAAUUUUCUGAUUUAUUACAGAAAGGUGAGAGGUCCCCCCUCC
This is a non-coding RNA of Cyanistes caeruleus (blue tit), 1060 nucleotides long. The record is from RefSeq and is a predicted model, not a curated record. Lineage: Eukaryota; Metazoa; Chordata; Aves; Passeriformes; Paridae.